Molecule: ribosomal RNA, 439 nt
Filed under: uncultured bacterium
Lineage: Bacteria
Description: partial 16S ribosomal RNA
Rfam family: Bacterial small subunit ribosomal RNA
Source: RNAcentral
CUACGGGAGGCUCCAGUGGGGAAUAUUGCACAAUGGAGGAAACUCUGAUGCAGCAACGCCGCGUGGAGGAUGACGCAUUUCGGUGUGUAAACUCCUUUUAUAUAAGAAGAAUAUGACGGUAUUAUAUGAAUAAGCACCGGCUAACUCCGUGCCAGCAGCCGCGGUAAUACGGAGGGUGCAAGCGUUACUCGGAAUCACUGGGCGUAAAGGACGCGUAGGCGGGUUGGAAAGUCAGGUGUGAAAUCCUACAGCUUAACUGUAGAACUGCACUUGAAACUUCUAAUCUAGAGUAUGGGAGGGGGAGAUGGAAUUAGUGGUGUAGGGGUAAAAUACGUAGAUAUCACUAGGAAUACCUAAAGCGAAGGCGAUCUCCUGGAACAUUACUGACGCUAAGGCGUGAAAGCGUGGGGAGCAAACAGGAUUAGAUACCCCAGUAGUC